Molecule: long non-coding RNA, 547 nt
Filed under: Androctonus crassicauda
Lineage: Eukaryota; Metazoa; Arthropoda; Arachnida; Scorpiones; Buthidae
Source: RNAcentral
UAUUUAUUCAUGCACAAAAAUCUAUAUUUAUUCAAAUAUAGUCAUGGUCGUCAUUUUCUGGAAUAUCAUCAUAAUUAUCUCUCCAGACCCCGAAUUCCGGCUUGAAAUUUUGUAACUCCAUUUCCUGUAGAACAAUUGGCUCCAAUCUCUCAUGUCAAGCAAUACAGCUCUCUUUAAAUGGGCACUUCUUGUUCAUAUAGCCUGUUCAUAGUGCAUUGGUAACACAGCUAUCAGUGAUUUUAUCCCAUGAAUUCUUUACCCAGUCACGAUCUCUUGCAGGCUAGACUUCAAAAGGUUCCACGCUGAUUUCUCUCGAUUCUAUUUUCAAUGUAGUCGUUGCUUAUUUAUGUUUAAUUGUAUAUUAAUAUUAUUAUUAUAUAAUUCAAUACGUCCGUCGUGUGUUGCAAACAUAUCUACUAAAUGCAUCCGUCUGGCUGUCGAUCUUAACUGGCGCUUAUUUUUGAAACAGGGUUUGUAUUACGAGCAUCCUGAAAAAUUAUGCUAUGGCUUAUUUUCUGGUUAUAUCUUAUUUUCGGGGAAACACGGC